GUAAAAUAUUUAUUUCUCCAGAGAUACUUCAAAGAAAGCAAAGGAUAUCUUUUUCUGGUUCUUCAUGACACUUCUCAUCUCUGCAUCUCCCUAUUCCCCAAAACUGGAAAGUAAGAAUCUGAAGCCUACUCUUUUAUGCUGACCCAUCACUCUGAUGCCAGGGCGUUGUUGAUUCCAGUUAUUCUUCUCAACUGAUCUCCUGUCCACAGCUUCCUUAAUGAUCGCUUUUAUUAGGACCAUACAUUUCAUAGCUAUUGUCAUAUUUUGUUUGUACGAAAUCUUAAAAGUUUGUGCAGAAGAGCCUUCCC
Molecule: long non-coding RNA, 308 nt
Organism: Bos indicus x Bos taurus (hybrid cattle)
Lineage: Eukaryota; Metazoa; Chordata; Mammalia; Artiodactyla; Bovidae
Source: Ensembl